AUUUUAUUGCCAUUACCAUAAAAAUUGGUGGCACCCUUUUAGGGGGCUCCGGUUCGGUACGGUUGUAUUUACACUUCAGAUCGAUGCCACGAUAAGUCUGUGCCCCCACAAGAGUGGUCAGACCCCGGCGUGUGUUGAAACUACGUACAGUACACACUUGUGAGAUAAAAGUACGUGUGCAGGGCAGAGCCUCCACGCUCUUCUUUGCCAUCUUGGGAGCGAAAUGGAACUGAACCUGGAACUUAAACUGAAACUGGCCUGGAAUGUGAUAGGCUGUCUGGCACUUGACUAAUCUACUCUGCUCCACUGAUAGAACUCACUUCAAAUGUGUAUAUAAAUAAUAUGAAUUUCCAGUCAAAGGCAAAUUAAUGGUUCCGACCACAAAUAUUUGCUACGUCACUUCGUCAAGUGGUUCAGCCAUAGAGUUCGAUUAAUGAGCGACUAUGCCGACAUUGUGGGAAAGAUGGAAGGGCAUACACUGUCAGAGAACCCUUUGAUGGGACUGUACCUGGAACUUUGGUUACCUACGCGGGGCAGGGCAAGGACAAACACGGCACCGGGGUUCAACCACCUUUUUUCCAGCUCCUUCUUCCGCAUCUCGACUCUUUUUGUUUCUUG
RNAcentral lists this long non-coding RNA (618 nucleotides) under Drosophila guanche. Lineage: Eukaryota; Metazoa; Arthropoda; Insecta; Diptera; Drosophilidae. The record is from RNAcentral.